This 225-nucleotide ribosomal RNA is filed under the name uncultured bacterium. Its description in RNAcentral is "partial 16S ribosomal RNA". It matches the Rfam family "Bacterial small subunit ribosomal RNA", at positions 111 to 334 of the family's 1533-position model. The record is from RNAcentral.
UAACACGUGAGCAACCUACCCUUCAGAGGGGGACAACAGUUGGAAACGACUGCUAAUACCGCAUAAGACCACGGUGUGGCAUCACACAGGGGUCAAAGGAGAAAUCCGCUGAAGGAUGGGCUCGCGUCCAAUUAGCUAGAUGGUGAGGUAACGGCCCACCAUGGCGACGAUUGGUAGCCGGACUGAGAGGUUGAUCGGCCACAUUGGGACUGAGACACGGCCCAG